This 460-nucleotide ribosomal RNA is filed under the name uncultured bacterium. Its description in RNAcentral is "partial 16S ribosomal RNA". It matches the Rfam family "Bacterial small subunit ribosomal RNA", at positions 338 to 795 of the family's 1533-position model. The record is from RNAcentral.
CCUACGGGAGGCAGCAGUGAGGAAUAUUGGUCAAUGGGCGCUAGCCUGAACCAGCCAAGUAGCGUGAAGGAUGACUGCCCUAUGGGUUGUAAACUCCUUUUAUAUGGGAAUAAAGUGCAGUAUGUAUACUGCUUUGCACGUAUCUUAUGAAUAAGGAUCGGCCAACUCCGUGCCAGCAGCCGCGGUAAUACGGAGGGUCCGAGCGUUAUCCGGAUUUAUUGGGUUUAAAGGGAGCGUAGGCGGGUUGUUAAGUCAGUCGUGAAAGUUUGCGGCUCAACCGUAAAAUUGCAGUUGAUACUGGGUAACUUGAGUGCAGGAGAGGUAAGCGGAAUUCGUGGUGUAGCGGUGAAAUGCUUAGAUAUCACGAAGAACUCCGGUUGCGAAGGCAGCCUGCUGGACUGUAACUGACGCUGAGGCUCGAAAGUGUGGGGAUCAAACAGGAUUAGAUACCCCGGUAGUC